This 102-nucleotide small nuclear RNA is filed under the name Saimiri boliviensis boliviensis (Bolivian squirrel monkey). Lineage: Eukaryota; Metazoa; Chordata; Mammalia; Primates; Cebidae. The record is from RNAcentral.
GUGCUGGUUUUGGACAUACAUAUGCUGCAAUUGGAACCACACAGAUGACCAUGAUUCCUGUGCAAGGGUGCCAUGCAGAUUCACGAAGUGUUCCAUAGCUUU